UACGAAGGGGGCUAGCGUUGCUCGGAAUCACUGGGCGUAAAGGGUGCGUAGGCGGGUCUUUAAGUCAGGGGUGAAAUCCUGGAGCUCAACUCCAGAACUGCCUUUGAUACUGAAGAUCUUGAGUUCGGGAGAGGUGAGUGGAACUGCGAGUGUAGAGGUGAAAUGCGUAGAUAUCGUAAGGAAGACCAGUGGCGAAGGCGAGUCUCUGGACAGUUACUGACACUGAGGCACGAAGGCCAGGGGAGCAAACGGG
RNAcentral lists this ribosomal RNA (253 nucleotides) under uncultured bacterium. RNAcentral describes it as "partial 16S ribosomal RNA". It matches the Rfam family "Bacterial small subunit ribosomal RNA", at positions 524 to 776 of the family's 1533-position model. The record is from RNAcentral.